Molecule: ribosomal RNA, 460 nt
Filed under: uncultured bacterium
Lineage: Bacteria
Description: partial 16S ribosomal RNA
Rfam family: Bacterial small subunit ribosomal RNA
Source: RNAcentral
CCUACGGGAGGCAGCAGUGAGGAAUAUUGGUCAAUGGACGAGAGUCUGAACCAGCCAAGUAGCGUGAAGGAUGACUGCCCUAUGGGUUGUAAACUUCUUUUAUAUGGGAAUAAAAUGUUCCACGUGUGGGAUUUUGUAUGUACCAUAUGAAUAAGGAUCGGCUAACUCCGUGCCAGCAGCCGCGGUAAUACGGAGGAUCCGAGCGUUAUCCGGAUUUAUUGGGUUUAAAGGGAGCGUAGGUGGAUUGUUAAGUCAGUUGUGAAAGGUUGCGGCUCAACCGUAAAAUUGCAAUUGAUACUGGCAGUCUUGAGUACAGUUGAGGUAGGCGGAAUUCGUGGUGUAGCGGUGAAAUGCUUAGAUAUCACGAAGAACCCCGAUGGCGAAGGCAGCUUACUAAACUGUGACUGACAUUGAUGCUCGAAAGUGUGGGGAUCAAACAGGAUUAGAUACCCUGGUAGUC